AGUGAACGCUGGCGGCAGGCCUAAUACAUGCAAGUCGAACGGCAGCACAGUGGAGCUUGCUCCAUGGGUGGCGAGUGGCGGACGGGUGAGGAAUACAUGGGAAUCUGCCCAGUCGUGGGGGAUAACGUAGGGAAACUUACGCUAAUACCGCAUGCGCCCUUCGGGGGAAAGCCGGGGACCUUCGGGCCUGGCGCGAUUGGAUGAGCCCAUGUUCGAUUAGCUAGUUGGCGGGGUAAAGGCCCACCAAGGCGACGAUCGAUAGCUGGUCUGAGAGGAUGAUCAGCCACACUGGGACUGAGACACGGCCCAGACUCCUACGGGAGGCAGCAGUAGGGAAGAUUGGACGAUGGGCGCAAGCCUGAUCCAGCCAUGCCGCGUGAGUGAAGAAGGCCCUCGGGUUGUAAAGCUCUUUUGUCCGGGAAGAAAAGCAUCGGGCUAAUACCUCGGUGUUCUGACGGUACCGGAAGAAUAAGCACCGGCUAACUUCGU
This 489-nucleotide ribosomal RNA is filed under the name uncultured bacterium. RNAcentral's name for it is "partial 16S ribosomal RNA". It matches the Rfam family "Bacterial small subunit ribosomal RNA", at positions 29 to 506 of the family's 1533-position model. The record is from RNAcentral.